RNAcentral lists this ribosomal RNA (465 nucleotides) under uncultured bacterium. Its description in RNAcentral is "partial 16S ribosomal RNA". It matches the Rfam family "Bacterial small subunit ribosomal RNA", at positions 338 to 795 of the family's 1533-position model. The record is from RNAcentral.
CCUACGGGGAGCAGCAGUGGGGAAUAUUCCGCAAUGGGCGAAAGCCUGACGCAGCGACGCCGCGUGAGGGAUGAAGGUCUUCGGAUCGUAAACCUCUGUCAGAAGGGAAGAACGGUCACUGUGCUAAUCAGCAGUGAAUUGACGGUACCUGCUAAGGAAGCACCGGCUAACUCCGUGCCAGCAGCCGCGGUAAUACGAAGGGUGCGAGCGUUAAUCGGAAUUACUGGGCGUAAAGCGCUCGUAGGCGGUAUGUCAAGUCAAGGGUGAAAUCCCCGGGCUCAACGGGGGAACUGCCUUUGAAACUGGCAAACUAGAGUGUGUGAGAGGAUAGUGGAAUUCCAGGUGUAGGAGUGAAAGCCGUAGAUAUCUGGAAGAACAUCAGUGGCGAAGGCGACUAUCUGGCACAUAACUGACGCUGAGGAGCGAAAGCGUGGGUAGCAAACAGGAUUAGAUACCCUAGUAGUC